Molecule: long non-coding RNA, 450 nt
Filed under: Solanum tuberosum (potato)
Lineage: Eukaryota; Viridiplantae; Streptophyta; Magnoliopsida; Solanales; Solanaceae
Description: long non-coding RNA (STUB_LNC005789)
Source: RNAcentral
UCAUCACCCUCACUCUCCUUAUCAGACUUACCAUUCUCAUCACCCUCACUUUCCUUAUCAGACUUAUCAUUCUCAUCACCCUCCUGAUCAGAUCCAUCACUGCUGGCCGGACAUGGAGGAAGAAUAUUUCCUAAUUCAAAAGAAAAGUUAGUUGGGCCUGAAGCACUGCAUACCUCUUGUUCUCUACCUCCUUUGCUGCCGCAAUCUCAUCCUCUCUCUUCCUCUCUUUAUCUUCUCUCUUCUUCUCUCUUUCUUCUCUCUUCUUCUCUCAUUCGGCUACAGCAGCAAGCUCGGCAUUGAGAUAAGCUAUCUUACUCUCCAUUGCAGAUAUUGUCUCUCUAUCCCCGCCAUCAAAGCUUGAGGAUGAUGAACCACAAUACCAAGACUUCUUCUUCUGAUAUGCCUUUUCUGGAUAGCCAUAGACCGAACCUCUAAUCGGUUCACCAGCAC